This 628-nucleotide ribosomal RNA is filed under the name uncultured bacterium. RNAcentral's name for it is "bacterial SSU rRNA". It matches the Rfam family "Bacterial small subunit ribosomal RNA", at positions 44 to 680 of the family's 1533-position model. The record is from RNAcentral.
GCGCCUUAUGCAUGCAAGUCGAGCGAAGCUUUUCAGUAGUUUACUACAGAAAAUGACUGAGCGGCGAACGGGUGAGUAACGCGUGAGCAAUCUACCUUAGUUACAGGGAUAGCCCGAGGAAACUCGGAUUAAUACCUGAUAUUCUUUAUUUCUCGCAUGAGAAUAAAAGGAAAGGUCAGCCGAACUAAGAUGAGCUCGCGUUCUAUCAGCUAGUUGGUGAGGUAAAAGCUCACCAAGGCUACGACGGAUAGCUGGUCUGAGAGGACGAUCAGCCACACUGGGACUGAGACACGGCCCAGACUCCUACGGGAGGCUGCAGCAGGGAAUAUUGCGCAAUGAGCGAAAGCUUGACGCAGCGACACCGCGUGUGGGAUGACGGAUCUAGGUUUGUAAACCACUUUCAGGAGGGAAGAAAAUGACGGUACCUCCAUAAGAAGCCCCGGCCAACUACGUGCCAGCAGCCGCGGUAAUACGUAGGGGGCGAGCGUUGUCCGGAUUUAUUGGGCGUAAAGAGCUCGUAGGCGGUUCAACAAGUCGGUCGUGAAAGUUCAGGGCUCAACCCUGAAAUGUCGAUCGAUACUGUUGUGACUAGGAUACGGUAGAGGUGAGUGGAAUUCCGAGUGUAGCG